RNAcentral lists this ribosomal RNA (497 nucleotides) under uncultured bacterium. RNAcentral describes it as "partial 16S ribosomal RNA". It matches the Rfam family "Bacterial small subunit ribosomal RNA", at positions 28 to 507 of the family's 1533-position model. The record is from RNAcentral.
GAUGAACGCUGGCGGCGUGCCUAAUACAUGCAAGUCGAGCGAACGGACGAGAAGCUUGCUUUUCUGAUGUUAGCGGCGGACGGGUGAGUAACACGUGGAUAACCUACUUAUAAGACUGGGAUAACUUCGGGAAACCGGAGCUAAUACUGGAUAAUAUUUUGAACCGCAUGGUUCAUAAGUGAAAGACGGUCUUGCUGUCACUUAUAGAUGGAUCCGCGCUGCAUUAGCUAGUUGGUAAGGUAACGGCUUACCAAGGCAACGAUGCAUAGCCGACCUGAGAGGAUGAUCGGCCACACUGGAACUGAGACACGGUCCAGACUCCUACGGGAGGCAGCAGUAGGGAAUCUUCCGCAAUGGGCGAAAGCCUGACGGAGCAACGCCGCGUGAGUGAUGAAGGUCUUCGGAUCGUAAAACUCUGUUAUUAGGGAAGAAAAUAUGUGUAAGUAACUGUGCACAUCUUGACGGUACCUAAUCAGAAAGCCACGGCUAACUACGUG